UGCUUGGGGAUCUGCCCUAGAGUGGAGGAUAACUAUUGGAAACGAUAGCUAAUACUGCAUAGUAUCUUCGGAUUAAAGUGGGCUUCGGCUCACGCUUUAGGAUGAACCCAAGUGGGAUUAGCUAGUUGGUAAGGUAAUGGCUUACCAAGGCGACGAUCCCUAGCUGGUCUGAGAGGAUGAUCAGCCACACUGGAACUGAGACACGGUCCAGACUCCUACGGGAGGCAGCAGUGGGGAAUAUUGCACAAUGGGGGAAACCCUGAUGCAGCCAUGCCGCGUGUGUGAAGAAGGCUUUCGGGU
RNAcentral lists this ribosomal RNA (300 nucleotides) under uncultured Psychromonas sp. RNAcentral describes it as "bacterial SSU rRNA". It matches the Rfam family "Bacterial small subunit ribosomal RNA", at positions 114 to 423 of the family's 1533-position model. Lineage: Bacteria; Pseudomonadati; Pseudomonadota; Gammaproteobacteria; Alteromonadales; Psychromonadaceae. The record is from RNAcentral.